RNAcentral lists this ribosomal RNA (468 nucleotides) under uncultured bacterium. Its description in RNAcentral is "partial 16S ribosomal RNA". It matches the Rfam family "Bacterial small subunit ribosomal RNA", at positions 28 to 507 of the family's 1533-position model. The record is from RNAcentral.
GACGAACGCUGGCGGCGUGCUUAACACAUGCAAGUCGAACGGAAAGGCCCUGCUUUUGUUGGUUUCUCGAUUGGCGAACGGGGGAGUGACACGUGAGGAACCUGCCCUUGUCUGUGUGAUAACUUCAGGAGACUGGGGCGAAUACCGGAUAUAAGCUCCUGCUGCAUGUGGUUGGUUGGAAAGUUUCGGCGGUGGGGGAUGGUCUCGCGGCUUAUCAGCUAGAUUGUGUGGUAGUGGCGUACCAAGGCUUUGACGGGUAGCCCGCAUGAGAGGGUGACCGGCCACAUUGGGCCUGAGAUACGGCGCAGACUCCAACGGGCCGCAGCAGUGGGGAAUAUUGCACAAUGGGCGGAAGCCUGAUGCAGAAACGCCGCGUGCGGAAUGCCGGCCUUCGGGUUGUAAACAGAUGUCGACUGUGCCGAAGAGGGAGUGACGGUACUGGGUAAAGAAGCACCGGCUAACUACGUG